This 333-nucleotide ribosomal RNA is filed under the name uncultured bacterium. RNAcentral's name for it is "bacterial SSU rRNA". It matches the Rfam family "Bacterial small subunit ribosomal RNA", at positions 568 to 898 of the family's 1533-position model. The record is from RNAcentral.
CGCGUAGGCGGAAUGGCAAGUCGGUCGUGAAAUCCUUCGGCUCAACCGAAGAACGUCGAUCGAUACUGCUGUUCUAGAGGAUUGCAGAGGAGACUGGAAUUCCCGGUGUAGCGGUGAAAUGUGUAGAGAUCGGGAGGAACACCUGUGGCGAAGGCGGGUCUCUGGGCAAUUCCUGACGCUGAGGCGCGAAAGCGUGGGGAGCAAACGGGAUUAGAUACCCCGGUAGUCCACGCUGUAAACGAUGACGACUAGGUGUGGGGGGGGUUCAGUCCCUUCCGUGCCGCAGCUAACGCAUUAAGUCGUCCGCCUGGGGAGUACGGCCGCAAGGUUGAA